UACGUAGGGUGCGAGCGUUGUCCGGAAUUAUUGGGCGUAAAGAGCUCGUAGGCGGUUUGUCGCGUCGAAUGUGAAAACCCGGGGCUCAACUCCGGGCUUGCAUUCGAUACGGGCAGGCUAGAGUUCGGUAGGGGAGUCUGGAAUUCCUGGUGUAGCGGUGAAAUGCGCAGAUAUCAGGAGGAACACCGGUGGCGAAGGCGGGACUCUGGGCCGAUACUACGUGAGGAGCGAAAGCGUGGGGGAGCGAACG
Molecule: ribosomal RNA, 250 nt
Filed under: uncultured bacterium
Lineage: Bacteria
Description: partial 16S ribosomal RNA
Rfam family: Bacterial small subunit ribosomal RNA
Source: RNAcentral